RNAcentral lists this ribosomal RNA (476 nucleotides) under Haemophilus sp. oral taxon G13. RNAcentral describes it as "bacterial SSU rRNA". It matches the Rfam family "Bacterial small subunit ribosomal RNA", at positions 30 to 489 of the family's 1533-position model. Lineage: Bacteria; Pseudomonadati; Pseudomonadota; Gammaproteobacteria; Pasteurellales; Pasteurellaceae. The record is from RNAcentral.
UUGCACGCUGGCGGCAGGCCCUGACACAUGCAAGUCGCACGGUCACAUACAGAAGCUUGCUUCUUUGAUGACGAGUGGCGGACGGGUGAGUAAUGCUCGGGCUCUAGCUUAUGGAGGGGGAUAACUACGGGAAACUGUAGCUAAUACCGCGUAAUAUCUGAACAGAUUACAGUGUGGGACCUUCGGGCCACAUGCCAUAGGAUGAGCCCAAGUGGGAUUAGGUAGUUGGUGAGGUAAAGGCUCACCAAGCCGACGAUCUCUAGCUGGUUUUGAGAGGAUGACCAGCCACACUGGGACUGAGACACGGCCCAGACUCCUACGGGAGGCAGCAGUGGGGAAUAUUGCGCAAUGGGGGCAACCCUGACGCAGCCAUGCCGCGUGAAUGAAGAAGGCUUCGGGUUGUAAAGUUCUUUUCGGUAGCGAGGAUAGGCCAUUAGUUUAAUAGACAUAGGUGAUUGACGUUAACUACAGAAGAA